UAACAAAAGACAAAAAUACUGUGAAGGUCUUAAAAUUAAUCAGCACACUAUUAUAAAUUCUGAAAAUGUAAACCUUUUAGGUGUUAAUCUUGAUAGUGCACUCAGUUUUCGAGGGCACAUCAAUGAAAUUCGUGCUAAAUGCUCCAAAUUAAUAAAUAUUAUCAAGUUCUUGAGAGGGGUAAUGUUCUCCAUACAAUUUUUCAACUCAUUGAGUAUUGAAGAUACGUCUGAAUUUACGUCAAUAUCGAGUAGUUGAAAUAACUCUUUAAGGAACAAUAAAAGUAAACGAAUACCUGCAAUUCAAAUACGGACAGAGAUGACCUGAGAUCGGCCUGAAAAUGACCAUUUUAAUCGGUGGUUCAGAGGGUUGAUACAUUACAAAGAGUUAAGAACAAAUUAUAAAUGUAGCUCGUGAAGAAAUUUUGUAAGGAAAUAAAAUAAUGGAGACCUACACUGUUUAUGAUAGUAAAUUAAGCAAAGUAAUAAUUAAUCAAAUGUAAUUAUUUACUUACAACGUAAAAAUUGAUUACAUUUUUUAUAUUAUAUAUGCUAUUACUAUAUUAUUAUUUUGUAUAUAUUGUUAGUAUAUCAUUAAAAUUAUUAUUUUUUA
Frieseomelitta varia is the source of this 610-nucleotide long non-coding RNA. RefSeq lists it as uncharacterized. The transcript has 2 exons. The record is from RefSeq and is a predicted model, not a curated record. Lineage: Eukaryota; Metazoa; Arthropoda; Insecta; Hymenoptera; Apidae.